Molecule: ribosomal RNA, 2014 nt
Filed under: Therochaeta sp. AB-2004
Lineage: Eukaryota; Metazoa; Annelida; Polychaeta; Terebellida; Flabelligeridae
Description: SSU rRNA
Rfam family: Eukaryotic small subunit ribosomal RNA
Source: RNAcentral
UUUUCUUGGUGAUCCUGCCAGUAGUUAUAUGCUUGUCUCAAAGAUUAAGCCAUGCACGUCUAAGUGCAGGCCACUCUGAUGGUCGAAACUGCGAACGGCUCAGUAAAUCAGUCAUGGUUCAUUGGAAGGUACAAUCCUACAUGGAUAACUGUGGUAAUUCUAGAGCUAAUACAUGCAACGCAAGCUCCGACCUCGCGAGAGGGAAGAGCGCAGUUAUUAGACCAAGACCAAUCGGGCGUUCUUCGUCCGUCAACCUAAUGGUGACUCUGGAUAACACGGUUGAUGAUCGCACGGCCGACGUGCCGGCGACACUUCUUUCAAAUGUCUGACCUAUCAACUCAAGAUGGCAGGGUAACGGCCUGCCAUGGUGCUGACGGGUAACGGGGAAUCAGGGUUCGAUUCCGGAGAGGGAGCCUGAGAAACGGCUACCACAUCCAAGGAAGGCAGCAGGCGCGUAAAUUACCCACUCCCGACACGGGGAGGUAGUGACGAAAAAUAACGAUGCGGGACUCUUUGGAGGCCUCGUAAUCGGAAUGAGUGCACUUUAAAUCCUUGAACGAGGAUCUAUUGGAGGGCAAGUCUGGUGCCAGCAGCCGCGGUAAUUCCAGCUCCAAUAGCGUAUAUUAAAAUUGCUGCGUUUAAAACGCUCGUAGUUGGAUCUUUGGGUGUCUGGGAACGGCUGGUGUCGCUCACUGAGCGUCUACUGCUGUCGACCCACAGCGGCUCGUCUCCGUUUCCAGUCUCGGACCGGCCGGGGAGGCUUCUGGCCACUCGGUCGCGGACGGGGCUGGCGGGGCGGGUCGUCGGGCUCGAGUUUCUCCCACCACCCGUCACUGUCGGCAUUCUCCGUGUGCUCUUAACCGGGUUGCACGGGGUGGCUAGACCUUUUACUUUGAGAAAACAGGAGUGCUCAAAGCAGGCAUUUUUCACUGCCACUGAACCAGUUGUGCAUAGAAUAAUGGAAUAGGACCUCGGUUCUGUUGUGUUGGUCUCAGGAAGACGAGGUAAUGAUUAAGAGAGACAGACGGGGGCAUUCGUAUUGCGUCGGGAGAGGUGAAAUUCUUAGAUCGACGCAGGACGAACAAACGCGAAAGCAUUUGCCAAGAAUGUUUUCCUUAGUCAAGAACGAAAGUCAGAGGUUCAAAGACGAUCAGAUACCGUCGUAGUUCUGACCGUAAACGAUGCCUACUGGCGAUAUGCCACGGUCGUAUCCAAAGGACCUGGCGUGCAGCCCUCCCGGGAAACCUCAAGUCUUUGGGUUACGGGGGUAGUAUGGUUGCAAAGCUGAAACUUAAAGGAAUUGACGGAAGGGCACCACCAGGAGUGGAGCCUGCGGCUUAAUUUGACUCAACGCGGGAAAACUUUCCCGGUCCGGACACUGCAAGGAUUGACAGAUUGAAAGCUCUUUCUUGAUUCGGUGGGUGGUGGUGCAUGGCCGUUCUUAGUUCGUGGAGCGAUUUGUCUGGUUAAUUCUGAUAACGAACGAGACUCUGGCCUCUAAAUAGUCCGUCUGUCGCCCACUCACGGGCUGCGGGCUAGGUCGUCGUCGGGGGAGGGCGCCUGGGUGAUCGCAAGUGAUCCUUGUGCGUUCUCUUUCUUCGGAGGCGUGCCGUUUGAACUUCUUAGAGGGACUAAUGGCUUUCAGCCAUGCGAGAAUGAGCAAUAACAGGUCUGUGAUGCCCUUAGAUGUCCGGGGCCGCACGCGCGCUACACUGGAAGAAUCAACGCGUGUCUCUGACCCGGUCCGAGAGGACUAGGGAAACGUUGAACCUCUUCCGUGGUUGGGACUGGGCAUUGUAAUUAUCGCCCACGAACGAGGAAUUCCCAGUAAGCGCGAGUCACAAGGUCGCGUUGAUUACGUCCCUGCCCUUUGUACACACCGCCCGUCGCUACUACCGAUGGACGUUCGAGUGAGGAGACUGGAUCGGCCUCUAUGCACGACUGGCGGGGCCUCGUGUCACGUCAGUAAGUCUCGGCCGAGAAGAUUUUCGAACUCGGACGUUCUAGAGGAAGU